CCCGCCCCGCCCCAGGCACGCCGCGCAGGAUCUGCUCCAGGCGGUGCCCAAGGGGUGGCGGGGGAAGUUCGGUCCGUCUAGUGCUGGGAGGUGUCCUCGGACCGCCUCGAGGGCGCCCGGAGACGCGCGGAGGCAGCAGUCCCGGCUCCGCAGGGAGCUCCACCACGUUUAAGAAAUCGGAUCCGAUGAUAAAGAGAAAAGGAUAAACUUCUAUCCUAGUCACCUCCUGCCGGACGAGGAUUUGCUGGCGCGGAGGCAGAGGGGACAGAAGACCACAGGCCUUUUGGGGAACUCGGAACAGUUCAGUGUUUCUGGGGUGUGAGCAUGGCAGGGCGGGGGAGGGGUUAAGGAGGAUGUUUACAAUUUUUGUUUUAUCUCAGAUUCCCAGUCCUGACCUUGGGAUGGAUCUCCUGUCCUCUGCCCCAACAUAAAUCAUUUUAGUUUCAUUCAAUGUGUGGUUCCUAAUCUUUUUAGCAUCACAUGGCCAUUUUAGAAUCUGAUAUGGGCCUUCUAGAAAAGUGCGGGUACCCACAUAGGCAAAGAGCAGCUGCGAUUUGAGUCUAUGGGCUCCUGGCCCCCCGUUGAGAGGGGCUGGGCUAAGCAUUCUUGUUACGAUUGCUGGAUUCUGGGCAAAGAGAUUGGGUUGCCGUCUGUUUCCUGCCUGACCUCCCCAUAUUGCAACCCUUCUGGGCAUGUUUCCCCACUUGCAAAAAUGAGGGGGUUAAAGGUGACCAAUACAGGGAUCCUUCAGGUCUAUGAUGAAUAAUGAAAAGCAGUGGGAUAUAUUGAGGUAUAUAAGGAAGCCAUUUGGUUUAAAACUAAUUUGGCCUGAACUUGUUUUUCCAGAAAGGCCUGACGUGGCAUGUUGGCACACAUUGUACAUCUGCUUUAGACAUUUACAAUGUUCCAAAGCCAAGAAUGAUGCCCUGAAGAUAGGGAUCUUGCCUACCCCAUAUGGGCAUUUCUUUAAGGAUAAGCAUGUCUUCCCAGAAGCUAAGGAUUAAUUACUCAUCUGGUUUAACUCAUCUCCUGACCACUGACCUGCUGACCAGCGACUUGCUGCAGUCACCUGGUGAACACUGACCUGCUGUGCUACCAAAGUAUCUCGUGACUGUAGUACAAGAGAUCUUCCUGUCACAUGUGAUGUAUGCUCUUUGUUCCAAUGAUGAGGAUCAAGGCUGCCCCUGCCCCAGGGAGAAAAGCCCAAGGCGUCCUGCCCUACAUACUGAUCUAUAUCAUCCUCGGGAAGCACAGGACGUCCUGACUUAAUCCGAUCUGAGUCUUACCUAAAGUUAUAGGACCACCCAAUAGCCAGACCCCACCUGCACUGAUACUAUUUUAAUGACUUUUUUACAUAAUCUUUCCUUUGUCUUGUAAAAAGAUAAUUGACAUACCUAUGCCUUAAAUUUAGCCCUACCCUCAACCAGUGUUUGCAGCUCUUACUGCCCGUGGGUCCUGUCCCCUUGCUGCUCCAUGCUAUUCUCUGAAUAAAAGAGCACUACUGCCAAACCUCGAGAGUCCAUGAAAUCUUUCUUUCGACUCCUCGGCUCACCAAGCCUACAUCACCAAGAUGGUAUAGAACCACGUUGUCCCCCC
Equus asinus (donkey) is the source of this 1596-nucleotide long non-coding RNA. The record is from Ensembl. Lineage: Eukaryota; Metazoa; Chordata; Mammalia; Perissodactyla; Equidae.